RNAcentral lists this ribosomal RNA (707 nucleotides) under Pseudomonas sp. Y4_1061_2. RNAcentral's name for it is "bacterial SSU rRNA". It matches the Rfam family "Bacterial small subunit ribosomal RNA", at positions 52 to 753 of the family's 1533-position model. The record is from RNAcentral. Lineage: Bacteria; Pseudomonadati; Pseudomonadota; Gammaproteobacteria; Pseudomonadales; Pseudomonadaceae.
UACCAUGCAAGUCGAGCGGUAGAGAGAAGCUUGCUUCUCUUGAGAGCGGCGGACGGGUGAGUAAUGCCUAGGAAUCUGCCUGGUAGUGGGGGAUAACGUUCGGAAACGGACGCUAAUACCGCAUACGUCCUACGGGAGAAAGCAGGGGACCUUCGGGCCUUGCGCUAUCAGAUGAGCCUAGGUCGGAUUAGCUAGUUGGUGGGGUAAUGGCUCACCAAGGCGACGAUCCGUAACUGGUCUGAGAGGAUGAUCAGUCACACUGGAACUGAGACACGGUCCAGACUCCUACGGGAGGCAGCAGUGGGGAAUAUUGGACAAUGGGCGAAAGCCUGAUCCAGCCAUGCCGCGUGUGUGAAGAAGGUCUUCGGAUUGUAAAGCACUUUAAGUUGGGAGGAAGGGUUGUAGAUUAAUACUCUGCAAUUUUGACGUUACCGACAGAAUAAGCACCGGCUAACUCUGUGCCAGCAGCCGCGGUAAUACAGAGGGUGCAAGCGUUAAUCGGAAUUACUGGGCGUAAAGCGCGCGUAGGUGGUUUGUUAAGUUGGAUGUGAAAUCCCCGGGCUCAACCUGGGAACUGCAUUCAAAACUGACUGACUAGAGUAUGGUAGAGGGUGGUGGAAUUUCCUGUGUAGCGGUGAAAUGCGUAGAUAUAGGAAGGAACACCAGUGGCGAAGGCGACCACCUGGACUAAUACUGACACUGAGGUG